RNAcentral lists this small RNA (833 nucleotides) under Malus domestica (apple). RNAcentral describes it as "sRNA MD03G0106800". The record is from RNAcentral. Lineage: Eukaryota; Viridiplantae; Streptophyta; Magnoliopsida; Rosales; Rosaceae.
CCAAAUAAUUAGAUUUAAGUUUCUGGCCCAAUUUUAUUCAGUUCUUCUUUUUAGCCAAGAUUUGUAGGCAUUAGCCCAAACACCUACCCAACGUUGUCUUGUAUUUUGCUAAAGCCCGAGUCUUAAACCGAGUUAGAGCACUCGGCGAGUUGUUGCUUCUUUCAUCAGCAAUCCGCGUCAGUCGGAAGUGACCCAGAUGUUUGUUCUCACUUUGAUACUGGGCUGUAAUUUUCGGGACAAUUUCAUGGAAGUGUUCACUUGGAGUAUACUGAAUGUUUCCUGUGUACUCUCCAUGGCCCGAUCACGGAAUGCAAUUGUUGCUACUGGCUUGGUAAUUUUCGCAGCUGCAGGCUUGGCAUUUCCCUUUUACAUGGCGUCAUCGCCAAAGCCUGUCAUUGACCCAUCAAAGCCACUAUCACCCCAGGCAACAUUUCGAGGGCCUUAUAUAAACACUGGUUCUCGUGACGUUGGACCUGACUAUCAGACCUACCCGAAGAAGUGACCAUCAUGAUGAAAGGACUUGUCUGUAUUUUGGACCAAGAAGGUCUCUCUUGAUCUACAAAUCUAGAUGACAUAUAGAGAUCUAAGAUUCUUCUCGUGUUCACUUUGAAUGGAAAGAAUAAGCGUAAGAGUUUAAAAUCCAGUCCACCGGACAUGUAUGCUUUAAUUUCGUUGUAAACUAAUAUUACUAGCAUUAUUAUUAUUUUUUGUUUCUUUUCUUUUUUCACUGUAAGCCUCAUAACCUAAUUUCAGAUUCAUGAAGGAAAAUCAUAAAAGUUCAAAGAGAAGUAGUAUACUUUCUUUAAUUGGGUGUAAAUUUAUGUGGAAUGCUA